This 73-nucleotide transfer RNA is filed under the name Ictidomys tridecemlineatus (thirteen-lined ground squirrel). Its description in RNAcentral is "Spermophilus tridecemlineatus (thirteen-lined ground squirrel) tRNA". It matches the Rfam family "tRNA". Rfam says of the family: Transfer RNA (tRNA) molecules are approximately 80 nucleotides in length. Their secondary structure includes four short double-helical elements and three loops (D, anti-codon, and T loops). Further hydrogen bonds mediate the characteristic L-shaped molecular structure. tRNAs have two regions of fundamental functional importance: the anti-codon, which is responsible for specific mRNA codon recognition, and the 3' end, to which the tRNAs corresponding amino acid is attached (by aminoacyl-tRNA synthetases). tRNAs cope with the degeneracy of the genetic code in two manners: having more than one tRNA (with a specific anti-codon) for a particular amino acid; and 'wobble' base-pairing, i.e. permitting non-standard base-pairing at the 3rd anti-codon position. The record is from Rfam by way of RNAcentral. Lineage: Eukaryota; Metazoa; Chordata; Mammalia; Rodentia; Sciuridae. RNAcentral also lists the same sequence under 2 other names.
GGGGAUAUAGCUCAGUUGGUAGAGUACUUGCCUUGCAUGCACAAGGCCCUGGGUUCAAUCCCCAGUACCACAA